Molecule: long non-coding RNA, 388 nt
Organism: Salvia hispanica
Lineage: Eukaryota; Viridiplantae; Streptophyta; Magnoliopsida; Lamiales; Lamiaceae
Source: RefSeq, a predicted model, not a curated record
UCUCUCUGUCUCUCUUUCUCUUCUCUCUCUUUCAUAGUAUUAGAAAAGGAAAAAAUGGCUAGCAUUAUUGAAAACAUGAAGAGAGGCUUUGGUUAUCUUGUUGACAUUGUAUCUGGUGGAAGCAAAAGCGCGACGGAAAAUAAUGGAGAAAAGCCAGAGCUCAAAGUUGAGGUUAAAUUAGCUCAGACGACAGCUCGAGAAACCACCAAUGAUAGACCCCCUCCUCCUAGCGUUGAAUCAACUUAGAAAAUAAAAUAAAUAAAUACAUUAUCCGAUCAAUAAUAUUUUGGUUGUACUUUUAUAUAUUUAUAUUUAUCUCGCCAUAUUUUUAUUUUGUUUUAGGUGUAUUUAAUAUGUAAUAAUUGCCGGAUAGGCAUUUGUUAUAAGU